Long non-coding RNA from Leopardus geoffroyi (Geoffroy's cat), 1315 nucleotides. RefSeq lists it as uncharacterized. NCBI's taxonomy places the organism in Eukaryota, Metazoa, Chordata, Mammalia, Carnivora, Felidae. The transcript has 4 exons. The record is from RefSeq and is a predicted model, not a curated record.
AGACAAGGAGAAAGAGGACUUCAGAAAAGUCUCCUGUGCAUGAAACGCCAUCCUCCGACGUCGUCUUGAAAUCUAAGUAUGAAUUGACUUGAUCUUUCAUUGAAAAUUCUAGUGAAAGGGUUCUUUCCUGGAAUCCGCAUGUGGGGCUUGGGGGCUCCCCGGAAUCUGAGCUCCUCUGUGGCUUGGGUCACUGUGGGAGCUCACUGCUAGCAGGAGACGCCCCGCCUGGAAGGGCAGGGAUCUGCGCCUGGGCUUUACCCAGAGGCCUGCUGGGCAGGGCUGGCGGCCUCCUGGGGCCUCAGCUUACCCAGCUAUAAAACUAAAGGGCUCUGCCCACUGCCUCCUUGACUCUAGCUUCUCUUUGAAAGCCCCUCAGGGGCAGGCCCCUGUAUACACUUCUGUGCAAGCAUGGGCACUCACUGCAGAUGCUUCUGGCCAGUCGGCUUCCUCCUGUGUCCCCCCCCCCCCCCCGCACCCGCAAACACUGGAAAGCUAAGCCCGCACCUCGCAGAUCCUCUGCGCGCAGGCCGUCCCGUUCUGCUUUCAGACAGAUGAGGUUCCCUGCAGCCGAGCCCUGCCUGACUCCUAAGAGAACCCUGGUCCGAAGGCAGCUGUGAGGAGCCUGGCCCGCAUUCAGGGGCGACUCCGUGUUGCGAUCCCGGCCACCAUGUCACAGGGACUGAUGUGGCUGGCUGGGUCCUUGACCUUCUGCUGUAUGCCUCACUUCUCUUCCUCUCUGGAACCCGGUUGCUCACGUCCAACCCGGAAGGGGCAGUGGCUGAGAUGCAAGGGGAGGAAAACCUGAGGGGGGACACUGUACCUCUGGGCUCUGUGCAUGGUCUUCAACUCAACUCACCCACAACAUGAAGUUCGUGCGGAAUGGAAGGUUCAAGAAGUCUCUUUUCCAGGAGACUUUGCAGUCUCUCUUAAUCACCAAAAGUUUGCCUUAGGGUUCAUCGAGAAGAUCCAACCAACGUUUUCAGAUGGGUGUAGGCGUGAGGGUCGGAUCUCUCCCACAUGGCUUUGAAGACCCCAGCAACAGUCAGCUUCCACGGUGUGUGGGGCUCUGGGCUUGGGUCGGAGGGCUGGCCCCAGGCUCCUGUGGAGGAUACCCCGCUCCCCCACCUUUCCCCCAGGGACCCCUUUGUGGCUCCCAACAUGCUGUCCCGCAGAAAGCUAGUGCUGGCCGCAUCUGUUCCUUGGGCUGGUCAAUCCCCAUGUUAAGAAUGGGUGGCUCAGUCGGUUAAGCGUCCGACUUCGGCUCGGGUCACGAUCUCACGGUUCGUGAGUUCGAGCCCCGCGUCGGGCUCUGUGC